Molecule: unclassified non-coding RNA, 604 nt
Filed under: Hevea brasiliensis (rubber tree)
Lineage: Eukaryota; Viridiplantae; Streptophyta; Magnoliopsida; Malpighiales; Euphorbiaceae
Source: RNAcentral
AAAAGAGGACGAGGACUUGCAGUUGUCCAUACAGUUAUAGUGCGAUCCUGACUCCCAAUAGCAAUAACGUUAUAGGGCUGCGAUUCUUUCCCUCCAAUCUUAGAGGCCCCAUUAGCCCACCCAACAGGCGCAGCUUUUACCUCCUGAGCACCAGUGAAAUUCCUUCUAAACAUUGAAUGGUUAAAUUUCACCACAAUAAUGGGGGCAUUAUGUCCUAAGAAAUCAAAUGUGGCAGCCCAUUCCCCUCUCUCUAGAACAGGUGCAGAAUGCCUCGGCUUCUGGAAACCCUGAGGUAGUUAUGAAAUGGCCACAAGGAGACCAUCCAAGCCGCCUGAAAAAUGUAGAACCAAGCGAUUUUGCCCAGUGGCCAUCUGUUCUGUGAGCCAGACUCCAGUCGCUUGUCCGCCAUAUGAUGACUGUCUUAUCAUCAGAUUGACUAGCUAUGAAGGAGCCAAUAGGAUCCCAAGCUACUCCUUUAACCAGGCUAGAAUGACCUCUAAGAACAGCAGUGCAAAUGCCAUUGCUCAUAUUCCAAACAUGGACAGUGUUGUCCAAACUCCCACUAGCUAAUAUGGAGUCAUCUGGAGACCAAUUAAGAUCCACC